Aethalodelphis obliquidens (Pacific white-sided dolphin) is the source of this 6844-nucleotide long non-coding RNA. RefSeq lists it as uncharacterized. The transcript is spliced from 2 exons. NCBI's taxonomy places the organism in Eukaryota, Metazoa, Chordata, Mammalia, Artiodactyla, Delphinidae. The record is from RefSeq and is a predicted model, not a curated record.
UGGCAACUCUAUUUUUAGUUUUCUUGAGGAACCUCCAUACUGUUUUCCAUAAUGGCUGCACCAACUUACAUUCCCACCAACAACAACAAAAAAAAUUGUGCAUCUUACAUUGGAUGUCCAGCAGCCUUCUGAUUCCCUGGCUGUGAGAGUGUUUUUAAGCCUAAUGUUGCACUGAAUCUAUACGUCAAUUCACAUAGUAUUAGCAAUAUUGACAAUUUUAAACCUUAAUGAUGUUAAAUCUUCUGAUCCACAAACAAGGGAUAUCUUUCCAUUUAUUUAGGGCUUUAAUUUCUUCAAAUGGUAUUUUGUAGUUUUCUGUGUAAAAGCCUUUUUACAAAGCCUCUUUACAGUUAUUCCCUCUUCAGAGCCUUGAAAACCCUCUGUGAAGUAGAGAUCACACUCUGUACAUCAAAGAUGCCUCAACUAGUAAGUGACAGAGCUGGGAUUUAAAUCCCUGGCCCGCCAGCAGAGCUGGGCCUAGACUUGCUCUGCUGGGGGCCGCUCGUUCCAGCCCCUAACUGCAUAGGGACCGAACAUCUCUCCUCUGUCUGGGAAACCUGCUGACCUGGUGACAGUCCCUCUGACUUGGAGGGGGGGUUGGAGGGAGGGACAGGGGCAGGACUGGCAUGAGAUGCUCAGGGUCAGGGAAGGAGGGUCCAGGGGAGGGUCCCACACACAGGCUACAGGCAGGGAGGGAACCUGUUUGGUUGAAACAGUGUCCCCAGCCCUUGGCUUCGAUGAAAACCACCUGGGCGCUUAAAAAGUUCCCAGCGUCCAGGCUCCACCUCAGACCAAUUAAAGCCGAACCCUGGGAGCAGGGCCAGGGAAUCCGUGAUCUUAAAGUAACCCAGGUGAGGCUGCAGCUCGGGCGGGGAACCGCCGGGUCAGGUGGUGAAGUUGGCCGUCAGUCCUGACCCAUCAGCUCUGCCCCAGCACACACUGAGGCCAGCAGAAGAGUCCAGACUUUAGAUCAGACAGACCAGGCUACAGUCCCGGGUGUGGAUCUCGGUUCCAUGUCACAAGUUCUGUGACCCUGGGUGCUUGACCUCUCUGACCCUCAGUUGAUGAAUCUGUGAAAUGGAGACAGGUAUACCUACCUUGAGAGACGGGAUCUGUUUCUCCUCUUCUUGAGCCUGGACUGGCCUGUGACUGCUCUGACCAGCAGGGUACAGCAGAAGGGACGCUGCACCAGCUCGGGGUCUAGACUCAAGAGGAUUGGCAGCUCCCCCCUCCAUGUCUUGGGCCUCUUACCUGACUUUUCAGGUGAGGAGAAUAUGCGGCUGAGAGGUGACUUGCCCAAGUAAAACUAUCAAGCGCUCACUGCUUUCCUGGCUCUGAGGGAGGAAAAGGCAACAUCUGGGGCAGCAGAUUUGACCAGACUUUUGGAGUUUUGAGUCCUGGCUCUGCCACUCCCCAGCUGUGUGACCUUGGGCUGCUAGAUAACCCUCUCUGUGCCUAGGCCACUGCUUUUGUAAAAUGAUGAUAAAUGGUUGCACCUCAGGGCUGUUGCAGGGGUGAACUGAGAGUACCCUGUCUUGACACAGCGGCUAACAGCUACUGUUAGCAGGGAGGCUCUGCUAGCCCCGGCCUGGAGGUCAUGAGGGGCCUGGCCACAGCUGUGCUGAUCUGGUGGCUUAUUUUUGAGGAAGAAGCGGGACCCAGCACGGAAGCGCCUGGGAAAACCCCCUGUUUCCCACUGGUCCCCUCUUCUCCCCUCUGGAGACAGCAGAGCCAUCCAGGGGGUGUCAGGGUGGGGCAGGAUUUCCCCUCUUGUGACAGACCCCCACUUCCUCGGCUCGCGUAUCACGGCCAAGGUUCAAGUGUCGGCGGGGCUGGGGAGGCAGCGUAAGUUUUGCCCUCCUCCUGAAGCCAAGGGCCCGUGACCCCACCUUUUCCUAGGGGUGAGCCAGAUGCCAGGUGGGCCUCCUGGUCCCUGGAUGCACAGGUCACCUCCUCUGGGCGCUCCUGGUUCUGAGGCCUGUGGAGGCACAUGGUCUUGCCCAGGUGUGCCCAGUCCCCAAGCGCCUCGGGGUUCCUGUUCCUCACGCGAAAACCUCAGACCUUCUCUGUGCUUCUCCCUGGUGAGCGCGUCUCCCCGAGCAGCACAGACCACCCCUGCGUGGAGUCCGUCUUCUCACUGUAGUGCAUCGGUCACAUCUCAGAUGACAGUGGACAGAAUCUGGGGCCAAAAAGGGCCUCAGAGAUGAUCUGAUCCAGCCCUUGAUCAGAAAAUCAUUUUUAUUGUAGUCAAAUAUAACCAUGAUUUACCAUUUUAACCAUGUGUAAGUGUACCGUUCAGUGGUGACUGAAUUUUAUAGCUGAGGAAACAUUCAUUCAAAUGAAAUUCUCAGCAGAAGCCUGAUAUAAAACUUUCCACGUUUUGUGGCCCGUGAAGGGCUGGGCCUCCACAGCCCCUGCAGGAGCUGGGAGGGAGCAAAGUGCAGGGCACGGAGGACAGAGGCGGCCCUGGCCGUCGUUCCCGCCACUGCCCCUGCUCUCCAUCAGGCAUUUGGCCCCCUCGUCCUCGCCCUCCAGGCCUGGUCUGACCCGUGAACACCCCGUCUACUCGGGGACUCGUGGCCUGCUCCCCAGUGCCCACUGGGACCUCCAGCCACAGGUCAAGGCACUGUGGACAGUGGCUUAUGGCAGGUCUGGGUGAUGGACGAGGGGAUGCUGGGCCUGAGCCUACCAGAUAGGGACCAGGACGGCGAGAUGCUGUCUAAAGCACUAAGGGUGCCCAUUCAGUGCCAGGAAGGACCUGCUGGCUGGCAGAGCCGCCCACAGAGGCACAGUUCUGAGAUGACUGGGCAACCGUGGAGCUGUGAGCUCAAGACACAGGCCCAUGGAGGAAGGAGCCUGGCCAUGGGCCAGCCCCCAGGAUCCCUGUCAGGCGCGCUUGGACUGGAAGGGACACAUUGGCUCCGUCCGUGAGGUGUUGGCACGCUGCCCGUCUGGAUGCAUUUCUUCUGAGUGAAAAGCGGGUCACGAGUGAACCCCUUGGAUGAGGGCUUGCGGUCCUCUGCCCCUGCCCAGCGGCGGGAGGCACAGCGUGAACAAGGAGGGCCCUUCGGGGACGAAGGGAGGGAGGGAGGAGAGAGGAGGACCCUGUGUCCCUGGUGGGCAGGAGGGCAUCCAGCUGCAGAAGGAGGCUUUAAGUCAGGAGAUGUGAUGAUUUUGUCCUCCACAUAGAGGGCCCACCACGCUCCCCUCCUUCCAAAGGCUUGAAGGAGGAAAACAAGGAAUAUAGGAGACGUUCUGUGAAGAAAAGCAGAUGAACAAAGCACUUACAGUUCAGAUGAGAAGCCUCCAACGUGAGUGAGCACAUCUGCAGCCUGAAAUCCCACAGCUGGACGGUGAGGUGCCGGAGCCGCCACCGAGACCUCACAUCCUGCCUGCACCUCACCCAGAGCGAGUGCUGGACCUUCGCAGAAAGGCCGCGGAGGGGGGAAUUUACUGCGCGGAGGUAGAGAAGCUCCCCGACGUGCGUGGAAACAUCAGCCUCACAGUCACUGGAGUGACCUCCUGCAGGAGGAGACGGGAGAGGAGACAGGAGAGAACAACCUCCUUCCCUGCAACAGAAACGUCUUAUCUCUUCUGAGAAGGAAGCUAGAGAAAAGUGGGCGCCAGCUCUUCCCACUGAGGGGAAGCCCAGCUAGUGAGAAGCAGGGGGGACGCGGACACCAGUCGUGGAGCAGAGGCCCGGGGCCAUGGGUCAGCAGGUCCCCGGGGCAGGAGGCCGCUGAGCCUCCAGGACUGAGGGACCCGGCUCACUUGCGGGGGUGAUGCCACAUUCGCAGCAGCAGCCCCGCGGGCCCAGAGACCUUUACCCGUUUUCUCUCCUAAAAGCAAUUUUGAUCAAUAGUUUUUAGUUUAAUUGAUACCGCACCUGCUCUUAUUGAAGUUUAAUAAAAUUGUGUUUCCUAAGACAGUGUUCUUCAAAGAUGGAUGAUUUUGAUAUAAUCAUUACGAAUACAUUAUUUCCACUUCAUUGGACCCUCUAGAGCUAGAUGGGAUAAGUAUUGCAUUUUGAUUGAAACACAAGGUCCACUAUUACUUAACCUGUAAUUGAACUUGGACACGCCAAGAUGGAGACGGGUGAAAAAUAAAUCCAUUUCUAUAUUCUGGGGAAAAAACCGAUGAGAGUGGGCUCCUGCCCAGGAUGUCUACUGAGGGGAGCCCUGAAGCCCCGGAGCUUUUCCACGGAUUUAACCCUUCACGUUGCAGGUGGGGAAACAGAGAAGCGAUUUCCCUGGGUAACCCUGGGAAAUUCACGGCAGCACAGGUACGAGCGCCAUGUCUCUUUGUUUCCAGUCCAGCUUUGAGCCGCGAGUUGCUCAAGAAGAAUAGGCUUCUCGGCCCCCACCUGUAAUUCUAAGAAAAUUUAAUCAGCUUCCUGGUGCUUUACAAAAAGAGCCAGCUCUUUCUACCUGUUUGCAGCCUGGCCUGAUGUUACCUUGGCAACAGCUGUCAACAGAAAUAUUGCCUCCCCCCCGGGCCUGUCACAUCCUUUAUACCAGACAUGUGUGUGGCCAGGUGAAGGGGCAAAGCAGUUGGGCCUCGUAGACCCGGCCUCGGGGCUCCUUUCCGCUAAGAUCUGCUUACUUAUAACCCAAAGGAAAUUUGUCCUAAAAACAGGAUUUCCGUGCUCGCUUGGCUGGUUUUCUUUUUAUACUCUAUAAGGACUUAACGGGGAGAACCUUGCCGUUUGAAGAGGUUAUUUUUAACAGCAGUAUUAGCCUGACAUCCUAAACCUGGGAUGUUACAGGUCAGUAGGAAAACCCACCGGACCUCACCGUCCAGAGGAGAAAAGGAAAGCCUCUCCAGGAGAGCUGAUUGCCCAGAGUCUGUGUAAUUUAUUGGCGAUGCAGGGCUUUGACUUGGCUGGAGUCCUGGUUGCCUUUUAGGGGUUUGGCGUUACUGCAGGUCUGGCUUGCUGACAGCAACGCCGUGUAGGUGCUGCCAUCCCAUGGGAUGGGCACAGGCUUGUUCGUGGCCUUUAUUAGAGAUGGGGCACAUUCUGGGGGCUAGAUCCUGAGUCAUCUUCUGGGAACCCCAUUCUCUUGCUCCCAACUCUCCCUUCCCUUGUCUCCCAACUGUCUGCCACGGGCUGGAGACCUGGAAUCCCUAGGGUUUGGGCAGGGGACGGACUGAGUGAGGUGGGCAGGGAGGGGCUGGUGAACUGGUCAUCUGUCCCCACUCGGCCUGCACGACACCUGCGGCUGGAGCUUUGUGUCUGUUCCGUCUCCCCUCAGUCAGGAUCCGAGGUCCAUUCUGCUCCCAAGGCCCCUCCUGGACUUCCACAGGCUCCACAUGCGCCCCUGGCGUCUGGCUGCACCCCCAGGAGGGAGGGGGAAGGCUUGACCUCUCCCCUCUUAGGCCUCCGGCUGGGCCUGAGGAUUCAACUGACCUAAGACAGAUUAACAGGAGAAAAGCAUGCAGAGUUUUACCUGUACAUGGGGGCCCUACAGGAAAACGAAGGCCCAGAGACGUGGCAGAACCUAAGUGCUUAUAUACUAGGUUGGAUGAAGAAAGGAAACUGUGGAAAAGGAACGAAAACACCUGGAGAGGCUACGGGAGGAGAGUUAGUUCAACAAGGUCCGUCUGCACGGCAUCCUCCCUGGCUUGACUCCCUGUCUCUGAUGAUGGGUGUUUCUUCCUCCUGAAACAGGGACCCCAUUUUGAUCUGCCGGCAGCAGGGAUGCUUUCUGCGUUGGGGACAUGUGACGAACCACAAAGACCCCUUCGUGGGGGACACAUAUUAAAAUAGGCAGGAAAGUAGAUUUCCAACUGCCAUCAUGGUCUGCACCCCCGGGGAGAGCUGUGGACCCCGCUGUGGACCAAGGACAGGCGCUUGCUCCUGGUCACCCAGGCUACCAGCUGGGUUCCUCGUUUUACUAAAACGCUCACCUGUUCGCUGUACGGCCUCCCCGCCCCCCCACCAGAGUGAUCUCAUGUGCGUGGUUGUCUUUUCCAUGACUUGCAGGAUGCAACUCAGGCAGCAUCCCCUCUGCAGGCAGCCUUGCUCUGAGCUAAGAUGAGAUGUGCUACAGGGGAGGGAUGGGUGCAGAGAGUCGGGCUGAGGUUACUCCAGAGUCACACUCCAGAUCCCAUCGAACCCUCCAUUUGGACUGUCUGGAGGGGCUCACGCUCACCAGUUGCCAAGGGCUGUCCUGCUCAGAGCCCCUUCCCCAUGCUUGUCCUGGAAAACUUCUGCUCUUGCUUCCAGAACCAGUAGCUGAGGAGCCAUUUCCAUGAAGUUGAGUUGGGUUCCAGUACUAGACAGAGGUCCUGUUUUGGCUUUCCAUCAUGAGUCCCCCUUUCAUGUAGAGUGGUCCCCACUUCCUGCCUGCCUCCCGCUAUGGGAGCAGGGAGACAGAGUUCCCCCUCUUCUGCCCCCGACUGCAGGGCUCGUGUUGUGGUCCAGACCGUGACUGUGUCAUCAGUGGUGGAGGUAACCGUGCUGGGGCCCAGAGCCGGAGACGCAGGCUGUGACAGCAGCAGGUGUGCCUAGGUGGUCUGACAGCAGCGGGUCUGCCUAGGUGGUGAGACAGCAGUGGGUCUGCCUAGGUGGUCUGACAGCAGCGGGGUCUGCCUAGGUGGUGUGACAGCAGCAGGUGUGCCUAGGUGGUGUUACAGCAGCGGGUCUGCCUAGGUGGUCUGACAGCAGCGGGUCUGCCUAGGUGGUCUGACAGCAGCGGGUCUGCCUAGGUGGUCUGACAGCAGCGGGUCUGCCUAGGUGGUCACCACUGCCUUUGGCUGAUCUCACUGUGGCUCAUUUGAUUUCUGCCUCUGACUUGUAGCUUCCUAUCUAUUCUGUGAGCCUGCAACGUCCUUAAAAAAGUAA